AUAGGUAGCUUAGUCGGUUAGGGGUCUUGACUCAUAACCUGAAGUUACAGGGUUCGAAUCCCGCUGU
RNAcentral lists this transfer RNA (67 nucleotides) under Ditylum brightwellii. Lineage: Eukaryota; Bacillariophyta; Thalassiosirophyceae; Lithodesmiales; Lithodesmiaceae. The record is from RNAcentral.